Molecule: RNA transcript, 1020 nt
Organism: Juglans regia (Persian walnut)
Lineage: Eukaryota; Viridiplantae; Streptophyta; Magnoliopsida; Fagales; Juglandaceae
Exons: 4
Source: RefSeq, a predicted model, not a curated record
UGGACUCACGAGACUUUCUUUAAGAGACUGCAAGCAACUUGAAAAAAUUCUACACCUUCCACCAAAUAUAGAAGAGGUAGAUGCUACAGGAUGCGGGUUAUUGAAACGCUUUCAUAAUAUAUCGACAGAAUCUUCAUUUGGUAUAACAGACUUAAAAUGGCUAACAUCGAUUAACUUAUCGGAGUGUAAUAAAAUGCAUGUGAAUGUAGGGAAUCGUGCACCAGAUCCAUUAUGGGUUCAGGAACACUUUCAGAUGAAAGAUUCAAGUAAGAUUAUAUAUCCAGGAAGUAGGAUUCCAGAGUGGUUCAAGUAUUGCAAGGAGACUACUUCAUAUACUAAUUCUAUUGAAAUUGAUAUUGAUCAUAAUGCAUCCAUGUGUUUUGGGCAUCAGAUCGUAGCAUUAGUUUUGUGUUUUGUUGUGGGACCUCUUCUACUGGGAUACGAAACUAUUACUAUCUCAAUAAACAGCCAGUCAAUGGUGUGGGACCAAUAUUGUGAUUUGUUGUGGCCUUCAAUGGACCCACAUCGUGUAUUUCUAAAAUACAUAGCUGGAAAUUCUAUUGAUGAGAUGAUGUCAAGAAGUUAUAGGGAGGGAUACAAUAUGAGGUUUACAUUUGCAAGUGGGUCAGAGGAAGCAAUCUUAAAAAGUGUCGGAGUCCAUCUAAUAUACGGGAAUGACAAUUUCAUUAAUCCUAUUCAACUUUCAAAGAGGUACCGAGAUGGUGGUGAGCAUGACUUGGAACCCGAUUGGAACCCACGACAGAAGAGGCAAUCUUCAACCACGAGAAUUAGGGAAUUCAAGGAUGCUAAUGAUGAUUUCAUUAGUGAAGAUUUACUUCCACUUGGGAAUUGAAGCUCAGAAAGGAAUCGAAGUUGCGGAAGGAAUCAAAGUUGGGAAAGAACUGUAACCAUAACAGACUUUAAUGAGACACAGCAUGCAGUCUUGGAGAGUCCGAUGGGCAGAGUUCACAAAAGGAUACCAAUAAGCAUGCAAUCUUGAAGUGGUGCUACUCAUCACUU